AUUGCCCCAGUAACGGCGAGUGAAGCGGCAACAGCUCAAAUUUGAAAUCUGGCCCCUAGGGCCCGAGUUGUAAUUUGCAGAGGAUGCUUUUGGCGAGGUGCCUUCCGAGUUCCCUGGAACGGGACGCCAUAGAGGGUGAGAGCCCCGUCUGGUUGGACGCCGAGCCUCUGUAAAGCUCCUUCGACGAGUCGAGUAGUUUGGGAAUGCUGCUCUAAAUGGGAGGUAUAUGUCUUCUAAAGCUAAAUACCGGCCAGAGACCGAUAGCGCACAAGUAGAGUGAUCGAAAGAUGAAAAGCACUUUGAAAAGAGGGUUAAACAGUACGUGAAAUUGUUGAAAGGGAAGCGCUCAUGACCAGACUUGGGCCCGGUGAAUCAUCCAGCGUUCUCGCUGGUGCACUUUGCCGGGCUCAGGCCAGCAUCAGUUUGCCUUGGGGGAUAAAGGCUGUGGGAAUGUGGCUCCUCCGGGAGUGUUAUAGCCCACUGCACAAUACCCUGGGGCGGACUGAGGUUCGCGCAUCUGCAAGGAUGCUGGCGUAAUGGUCAUCAGCGACCCGUCUUGAAACACGGACCAAGGAGUCGUCUUCGUAUGCGAGUGUUCGGGUGUAAAACCCCUACGCGUAAUGAAAGUGAACGCAGGUGAGAGCUUCGGCGCAUCAUCGACCGAUCCUGAUGUUCUCGGAUGGAUUUGAGUAAGAGCAUACGGGGCCGGACCCGAAAGAAGGUGAACUAUGCCUGUAUAGGGUGAAGCCAGAGGAAACUCUGGUGGAGGCUCGCAGCGGUUCUGACGUGCAAAUCGAUCGUCAAAUAUGGGCAUGGGGGCGAAAGACUAAUCGAACC
This 837-nucleotide ribosomal RNA is filed under the name Metarhizium ellipsoideum. Its description in RNAcentral is "partial 28S ribosomal RNA". It matches the Rfam family "Eukaryotic large subunit ribosomal RNA", at positions 74 to 941 of the family's 3401-position model. The record is from RNAcentral. Lineage: Eukaryota; Fungi; Ascomycota; Sordariomycetes; Hypocreales; Clavicipitaceae.